GAUGAACGCUAGCUACAGGCUUAACACAUGCAAGUCGAGGGGCAGCAUGACCUAGCAAUAGGUUGAUGGCGACCGGCGCACGGGUGAGUAACACGUAUCCAACCUGCCGAUUAUUCCGGGAUAGCCUUUCGAAAGAAAGAUUAAUACUGGAUAGCAUAACGAGAAGGCAUCUUCUUGUUAUUAAAGAAUUUCGAUAAUCGAUGGGGAUGCGUUCCAUUAGUUUGUUGGCGGGGUAACGGCCCACCAAGACAUCGAUGGAUAGGGGUUCUGAGAGGAAGGUCCCCCACAUUGGAACUGAGACACGGUCCAAACUCCUACGGGAGGCAGCAGUGAGGAAUAUUGGUCAAUGGACGAGAGUCUGAACCAGCCAAGUAGCGUGAAGGAUGACUGCCCUAUGGGUUGUAAACUUCUUUUAUAUGGGAAUAAAGUGGGUCACGUGUGGCUUUUUGUAUGUACCAUACGAAUAAGGAUCGGCUAACUCCGUG
This 485-nucleotide ribosomal RNA is filed under the name uncultured bacterium. RNAcentral's name for it is "partial 16S ribosomal RNA". It matches the Rfam family "Bacterial small subunit ribosomal RNA", at positions 28 to 507 of the family's 1533-position model. The record is from RNAcentral.